RNAcentral lists this ribosomal RNA (397 nucleotides) under uncultured bacterium. RNAcentral describes it as "bacterial SSU rRNA". It matches the Rfam family "Bacterial small subunit ribosomal RNA", at positions 975 to 1375 of the family's 1533-position model. The record is from RNAcentral.
CAGGGUCUUGACAUCCCGGUGACCGCUCUAGAGAUAGAGUUUUCUCUUCGGAGACACUGGUGACAGGUGGUGCAUGGUUGUCGUCAGCUCGUGUCGUGAGAUGUUGGGUUAAGUCCCGCAACGAGCGCAACCCUUAUUGUUAGUUGCUACGCAAGAGCACUCUAGCGAGACUGCCGUUGACAAAACGGAGGAAGGUGGGGACGACGUCAAAUCAUCAUGCCCCUUAUGUCCUGGGCCACACACGUACUACAAUGGUGGUCAACAGAGGGAAGCAAUACCGCGAGGUGGAGCAAAUCCCUAAAAGCCAUCCCAGUUCGGAUCGCAGGCUGCAACCCGCCUGCGUGAAGUUGGAAUCGCUAGUAAUCGCGGAUCAGCAUGCCGCGGUGAAUACGUUCCC